RNAcentral lists this ribosomal RNA (253 nucleotides) under uncultured bacterium. RNAcentral's name for it is "partial 16S ribosomal RNA". It matches the Rfam family "Bacterial small subunit ribosomal RNA", at positions 524 to 776 of the family's 1533-position model. The record is from RNAcentral.
GACAGAGGAUGCAAGCGUUAUCCGGAAUGAUUGGGCGUAAAGCGUCUGUAGGUGGCUUUUCAAGUCCGCCGUCAAAUCCCAGGGCUCAACCCUGGACAGGCGGUGGAAACUACCAAGCUGGAGUACGGUAGGGGCAGAGGGAAUUUCCGGUGGAGCGGUGAAAUGCGCAGAUAUCGAGAGGAACACCUGCGGCGAAGGCGGGUUGCUGGGCCGACACUGACGCUGAUGCGCGAAAGCCAGGGGAGCGAACGGG